CCUACGGGAGGCAGCAGUGAGGAAUAUUGGUCAAUGGACGAGAGUCUGAACCAGCCAAGUAGCGUGAAGGAUGACUGCCCUAUGGGUUGUAAACUUCUUUUAUAUGGGAAUAAAAUGUUCCACGUGUGGGAGUUUGUGUGUACCAUAUGAAUAAGGAUCGGCUAACUCCGUGCCAGCAGCCGCGGUAAUACGGAGGAUCCGAGCGUUAUCCGGAUUUCUUGGGUUUAAAGGGAGCGUAGGUGGGUUGUUAAGUCAGUUGUGAAAGUUUGCGGCUCAACCGUAAAAUUGCAGUUGAAACUGGCAGUCUGGAGGACAGUAGAGGUGGGCGGAAGUCGUGGUGUAGCGGUGAAAUGCUGAGAUAUCACGCAGAACUCCGAUUGCGAAGGCAGCUCGCUGGACUGCAACUGACACUGAGGCUCGAAAGUGUGGGUAUCAAACAGGAUUAGAUACCCUAGUAGUC
This 460-nucleotide ribosomal RNA is filed under the name uncultured bacterium. Its description in RNAcentral is "partial 16S ribosomal RNA". It matches the Rfam family "Bacterial small subunit ribosomal RNA", at positions 338 to 795 of the family's 1533-position model. The record is from RNAcentral.